Molecule: ribosomal RNA, 460 nt
Filed under: uncultured bacterium
Lineage: Bacteria
Description: partial 16S ribosomal RNA
Rfam family: Bacterial small subunit ribosomal RNA
Source: RNAcentral
CCUACGGGAGGCAGCAGUGAGGAAUAUUGGUCAAUGGGCUUACGCCUGAACCAGCCAAGUCGCGUGAGGGAAGACUGCCCUAUGGGUUGUAAACCUCUUUUGUCAGGGAGCAACGCCGGCUACGUGUAGCCGGACUGAGAGUACCUGAAGAAAAAGCAUCGGCUAACUCCGUGCCAGCAGCCGCGGUCAUACGGAGUAUGCGAGCGUUAUCCGGAUUUAUUGGGUUUAAAGGGUGCGCAGGCGGGCUGUUAAGCCGGCGGUAAAAAUUCAGGGCUCAACCCUGUCGAGCCGUCGGAACUGGCAGUCUUGAGUGGGCGAGAAGUAUGCGGAAUGCGUGGUGUAGCGGUGAAAUGCAGAGAUAUCACGCAGAACGCCGAUUGCGAAGGCAGCAUACCGGCGCCCAACUGACGCUGAGGCACGAAAGCGUGGGGAUCGAACAGGAUUAGAUACCCCAGUAGUC